This 72-nucleotide transfer RNA is filed under the name Ornithorhynchus anatinus (platypus). It matches the Rfam family "tRNA". From Rfam's summary of the family: Transfer RNA (tRNA) molecules are approximately 80 nucleotides in length. Their secondary structure includes four short double-helical elements and three loops (D, anti-codon, and T loops). Further hydrogen bonds mediate the characteristic L-shaped molecular structure. tRNAs have two regions of fundamental functional importance: the anti-codon, which is responsible for specific mRNA codon recognition, and the 3' end, to which the tRNAs corresponding amino acid is attached (by aminoacyl-tRNA synthetases). tRNAs cope with the degeneracy of the genetic code in two manners: having more than one tRNA (with a specific anti-codon) for a particular amino acid; and 'wobble' base-pairing, i.e. permitting non-standard base-pairing at the 3rd anti-codon position. Lineage: Eukaryota; Metazoa; Chordata; Mammalia; Monotremata; Ornithorhynchidae. The record is from Rfam by way of RNAcentral.
AGCAGUGUGGCUCAGUGGAAAGAGCGUGUGCUUUGAAUUCAGAGGUCAUGAGUUCGAAUCCCAGCUCUGCCA